RNAcentral lists this ribosomal RNA (497 nucleotides) under uncultured bacterium. Its description in RNAcentral is "partial 16S ribosomal RNA". It matches the Rfam family "Bacterial small subunit ribosomal RNA", at positions 28 to 507 of the family's 1533-position model. The record is from RNAcentral.
GAUGAACGCUGGCGGCGUGCCUAAUACAUGCAAGUCGAGCGAACAGACGAGGAGCUUGCUCCUCUGACGUUAGCGGCGGACGGGUGAGUAACACGUGGAUAACCUACCUAUAAGACUGGGAUAACUUCGGGAAACCGGAGCUAAUACCGGAUAAUAUAUUGAACCGCAUGGUUCAAUAGUGAAAGACGGUUUUGCUGUCACUUAUAGAUGGAUCCGCGCCGCAUUAGCUAGUUGGUAAGGUAACGGCUUACCAAGGCAACGAUGCGUAGCCGACCUGAGAGGGUGAUCCGCCACACUGGAACUGAGACACGGUCCAGACUCCUACGGGAGGCAGCACUAGGGAAUCUUCCGCAAAGGGCGAAAGCCUGACGGAGCAACGCCGCGUGAGUGAUGAAGGUCUUCGGAUCGUAAAACUCUGUUAUUAGGGAAGAACAAAUGUGUAAGUAACUAUGCACGUCUUGACGGUACCUAAUCAGAAAGCCACGGCUAACUACGUG